AGAUCACUACGGUGACUUGUAAGCAACUCACUGUACUUUAGUACCAGACCAUUUGAGUUUUUAACUUAAUAAUGAAAGGAUACUGGGUGUAGUCUAGUACUUAUCAAGUCGGUGUUUGAGUCAAGAUAAAAUUGACCCUUUUGAAUUGGUAGGAGAUAUGCAUCAGUAUAUUUCAAUUUAGCAAAAUCUUGGCUAGGAUAAUCCAUGAGAUGGAUUUGAAAUAUUGAAAUAUAAUGUGGUUGACUUAAUUAGGGU
Molecule: long non-coding RNA, 255 nt
Filed under: Elaeis guineensis (African oil palm)
Lineage: Eukaryota; Viridiplantae; Streptophyta; Magnoliopsida; Arecales; Arecaceae
Description: long non-coding RNA (EGUI_LNC080725)
Source: RNAcentral